CUGCCUCCUGCGUAUGUGCGGUCACGGAGAUAGGUGUACGUUGCGACAUUGCUUCGUGCGUUGUGCGGAGAGUUCACGCGCGGUGCGGCGCGGCGGACGGACCACGUACGCGUGCAACGCCUGCGCCUAGGCGUCCGGACGUGAGCGGCGCAGCGGCGGUAGCGGAGGAAGGCCUCGGCGCCCGCUUGGCUCGUCGCGUGACGCGCGUUUUUCUUUUCUUUCUUCGGCUUCGGUUUUCCGUUCGCCGGUUGCCGAUCAACCGCGCGCUGCCAAAUUCGUGACGAGGCUGGGUCUGUUGCCGCCUUGUCCCUGUCUGAGUGACGGCCUCUUCAUCGACAAUUUUGGCCGAUCGACCGAAGUCUGGGAGGUUGAGAAGCGUCGUUUUGAUCGUGAAACGGAUGGGAUCAAGGAAUAGUGCGGCAUACCCCCGGAACGGUACUGCCGCUAGCGUGCCGCAUCCCCUCAUCCGUCGUGAUUUGGGAAGAAUUCGGGGUUACAUGGGCCGGUUAAUGGCCCAAUAACGUACAGACAUUGGGAGAGGAGCCGCGCGAGAAGGCUAUUGCGCGGUCAGUCGCGCGCCCCCCUUUCCCCACGCGCGGACUGGACACGUGUCGCGCGCGGAGAGAGGGCGGCGGACGCGCCAGGCGGCAGAGCGAGUUUUCCGUUUUUUUUCGUGUUUUUCGUUUCUGUUCGGUUUGCUUUUUUUUUUUUUAGUUUUUACGGUACUGUUCAGUUUGGUUUUCCUUUUUUUUCGUUUUCUCUUCUGUUUUCUUUCGGUUUUUUUUAAAGAUGUAUGAAUACAAAGUUUGUAUUUGUAUGUAUAUCAAGCUAGUUUAUAUUCGUAUGUAUGUAAAGUUUGUAUACGCGUAUACAAAGAUUAUAUACGCGUAUGCAAACUUUGUAUACGUGUUGUAA
This is a non-coding RNA of Oryza sativa Japonica Group (Japanese rice), 915 nucleotides long. Lineage: Eukaryota; Viridiplantae; Streptophyta; Magnoliopsida; Poales; Poaceae. The record is from RefSeq and is a predicted model, not a curated record.